Molecule: ribosomal RNA, 496 nt
Filed under: uncultured bacterium
Lineage: Bacteria
Description: partial 16S ribosomal RNA
Rfam family: Bacterial small subunit ribosomal RNA
Source: RNAcentral
GAUGAACGCUGGCGGCGUGCCUAAUACAUGCAAGUCGAGCGAACAGACGAGGAGCUUGCUCCUCUGACGUUAGCGGCGGACGGGUGAGUAACACGUGGAUAACCUACCUAUAAGACUGGGAUAACUUCGGGAAACCGGAGCUAAUACCGGAUAAUAUAUUGAACCGCAUGGUUCAAUAGUGAAAGACGGUUUUGCUGUCACUUAUAGAUGGAUCCGCGCCGCAUUAGCUAGUUGGUAAGGUAACGGCUUACCAAGGCAACGAUGCGUAGCCGACCUGAGAGGGUGAGCGGCCACACUGGAACUGACACACGGUCCAGACUCCGACGGGAGGCAGCAGUAGGGAAUCUUCCGCAAGGGGCGAAAGCCUGACGGAGCAACGCCGCGUGAGUGAUGAAGGUCUUCGGAUCGUAAAACUCUGUUAUUAGGGAAGAACAAAUGUGUAAGUAACUAUGCACGUCUGGACGGUACCUAAUCAGAAAGCCACGGCUAACUACGU